CACUUUUCAUUUAAAAACUUUCCCUUUGCUCACUCAAAACACACAAACACAUUUCUUCAUCUAAAAAGUCUCUCUUUCCUCUCUCGCUUCCUAUAUAUUUUUUUAAUCGAAAAAUUUCUUUCUAAAUUUUCUUUUGGUUGAAAACUCUCUCUAUAUUUUACUGCGCGCGUCUGGUCUUUGAAGGCACUUUAAGUGCUAACAUGCGACAAGUUUGAUCCUCGAGCAAGACAUAGAGACAAUACAUGUUACAUAAUAAGAUAUAUAACGUCUAAUCGCCGGCAAAGCACAAAUAGUUCAGUGGAACCUGAUUCAAAUAUUCGUACGGAAACAUCAGUACGGACAGGAGAUAAUUUCAAAUGGACUCCUAACCGAGAAAGAAAUUUCUUGAGUUGUAUGACAAAGCCAUUGCAAUGACUAAUUACCGUUUAAAAGAUCCUACACUUCUUGGUAAAGAGUUUGUGGUUGAAAAUUUUAAUGAGAAGUUCAAUCUCAAUAUAAACUAUCGGUUUUUCAAUGAAAAACUUGAUCAGUUGAAAAAAAAAUACAAGAAGUAUGUAGUUCUUAAGGAUAACACAUGUAUCUCUGCUGAUCCUGUUACACACCAGAUAACUGCAUCCAAGACUUGGUGGAAAAUCAAGAAGUAUGUAAAAUUGUGCAUGCCUUUGAGCCACAGCCGCCACAACUUUGGGAUGUGAUGCAACGUUUUUUCAGAUUAUAUGAUGUCAAAUCUCAAUCUCAAUAUUCUGUCAACCAGCGAAGAGAAAAUAUGAUGAACGAAGGCACAAAUAAUAACGAUUCUCAUACGUACUCAGAAACAUAUGGUGGUGAAAUGUCAUAUAGUCAAGUUCCAGAGACACAAGAAAACGAAGAGGUAUACCACGUAAAUAUUGACGAUGAAACACGUCCAUCCAAUGAGUUUACUCGUGAAUAUACACGUCAUAGUUCUCCAUCAGUUGAUCCAAUCCAAAUCCCUGUUUCCGGAGUUUAACAACGAGGACGUGGAAGACAUGGAAGUACUUCACAAAUGUAUGCGGUAAACUCAUGUGACACUAUUGGAAGUGGUUCGCGAGGAAGUCGAAGAAAACAAUCUUUUGAGACAAUGUUAACAGAUACAGUGACUGGAUUUAGAGAGUUUCAACGCCAAAGCUUACAACAACUACGCCCAAAAUCAUUUGACCAAAAUGAUUUUGACGAAUGUGAAACGGCUGUGAAGAUCUUUGAGGCUAUGGAGCUUCCAAAUGAUACUAAAUUUUAUUGGGAAUGCAUAAGGGCAUUCAAAGAAGACGAAUUUUGGAGGGGAAAACGGCCAGUUCCCCCCUGAACUAAGUUACUUUAUCGCACAUAUUCCUGAAACUUUCAACUGUGCCAAUUCCCCUCUAAACUCUAAUAAACUUUGAAUAUCCCACACCAACUAUACUAAGUCGGAUUAAACCCCCAAAUCGUGAAACGGUGUUAAAUUACCGUUAACAGAUGAUGAUUAGGACGACACGUAAGCACUAAAACGAUUGCGUUUUAGCACUAAACCCAUGGUUUUACAAACACAAAACGACGUCGUAUAACGAAUUGGGGGUUUAUUCGAUUUAGGGUACUUAUUUAUUCUUCCUUCCCAAAACAAAUCGCAAAAGUGAGAAACAGAAACAAAGAGAAACACUGAGAGAUCGAGAAUCGAAGCUGUUGUAGCUGAAUUGGGUGAAAGAGGAAGAGGAAUUCCGAAGAAAUGUAGAUGUGGAGAGAAUGCAUUUUUGAGGACAUCAAAGACAGUGAAAAAUCUAGGGAGACUUUUUAAUGCUUGUACAAAUGGAGAUGAGGUCAUGGUUUAAUUGUUGGGUAGUUAAGGUAUAAAUUGUAAAAUUCUGAUACAUUCUUUAAUUAUG
Camelina sativa (false flax) is the source of this 1874-nucleotide non-coding RNA. NCBI's taxonomy places the organism in Eukaryota, Viridiplantae, Streptophyta, Magnoliopsida, Brassicales, Brassicaceae. The record is from RefSeq and is a predicted model, not a curated record.